GCCUUGGUGGUCUAGUGGUUAAGAUUCAGUGCUCUCACCGGUGCAGUCUGGGUUCAUUUCCCAGUCAGGGAA
This 72-nucleotide transfer RNA is filed under the name Equus asinus (donkey). It matches the Rfam family "tRNA". From Rfam's summary of the family: Transfer RNA (tRNA) molecules are approximately 80 nucleotides in length. Their secondary structure includes four short double-helical elements and three loops (D, anti-codon, and T loops). RNAcentral also lists the same sequence under 1 other name. Lineage: Eukaryota; Metazoa; Chordata; Mammalia; Perissodactyla; Equidae. The record is from Rfam by way of RNAcentral.